AGCGGUUCCAGUUUCUUCAUCCAUUGCGUCCAGUGCUUGGGAGAGAUUAGUAUGUUCAGCUGAGAUCGAGUCUGGGUGGCUGCUGUAUCCGAGCUGGGCUUGAGCUUUGGCUUGGGCUGGUUUUUUUUGGCUGCAAAACUGUCUGAUGGCACAACUGCAACAUAAAGGUUAAAUAUGGCACAGGAAAAAAAAAAAAAAAAAAGAAACAGAGCGGGGAGAAGGAAGGAUUAGAGAAAAGAAACUAAUAUAAAUCAGUUGAGGUUCUUUUUAGUGAAGAGGUCUUUGAUCUCUGCUGGGUCUUACAGAUCUUUCUUUUAAAGAGAGAGAGAGAAAAGAAGAGAGGAGGGGGGAGAGAAGGGAAAAGCGGGGAGAGAUCUUUGGCAGGUGCAGAGUGAAAACCUCUUUCAGCUACACUGAAUUCUGGAGACUGGUUGGACUAGUAGCUCUGCAGCUCCAGCUUUCAGUGGGUGUGUUAAAUAUUAUGAGCGAGCCAUGAUUCCUGCCUUCCUCACGUCAUAGUUAGGAGAUUGGCUAAAUAAACGCUACAGUGAUAGUAACAGGAAAACCUCAACCAAAAGAGGGGUUUUUUUCCCUCCUCUCCUCCCUCCUUCCCACCCCCCCUUUUCAUUCUACUGCAGCUCCAACUGGGGCAAGGAGAGGGCGUCUGUUCCACAAAGGUUUGGGAAAAAAAAUAAAAUGAAACGAAAUAAAAUGUAAAGCGGUAGAGGAGAGAGGAUCCUGCGCUGCCAGCGCUGCGAGGCGGCAGCAGCAGCGCCGUGCGCCGGGCCGGGCCGGGAUGGGCGGCCCUGCUCCGCCGCCGCCGCGCUCAUCGCCCUCGCCCCCGGCCCCGCGGGGUCAGCCCGGGCUCCGCUGGCCGGGGAUCAGCCUCCGGGUCUGAUCCGGGAUCCCUCACCGGGAUCCAGCUGCCCUCCCUCCCCUUCCCCCCUCUCCGCUGCUGGCUCUGUGCCUGCUGGCCCAGCGGGCUAGUGGCAGCCCCGGGAGCACUGAGGCAGCCGUUUGACAGCCAGGGCACCCUGCAGGAACGAGCUGCCCCUGGCGCUUCAGGUGGUCAGGCAGGGAAUGCCCAGAACCGGCAGAACGAGGCAGGAACUCGGGGAAGGAGGCUGAUGUCACCUGGCUGUUUGUUUCUGCAAGCAGAGAGCGCAUCUUCAACUGGAUCCUGGAAGCACAGAGCUUUAUGAGCUGAGAUGAUGGCCCUGGGAGAAGAUCUGGAGGGUCAUCAGCUCCAGUCCAGUGCAAUUUCACUUGGCUUUCUGCAGUUCUCUUCUUUAAAGCCCAGCUGAGCCCGAAGGAGGAUUUUGGAGGGGAGAAGGGUGGAGCAGGUUGGGUUAAAGACACCACUCUAGGAUACAGUUUGUGUCUCCAUAUGAAAAUUCCAGUUUCCCCCUGAAAGCUGCAUUCCCUGUUGCCAGUUCUAGAGCAGAGUCAUGGCCAGGGGCUGCUCCAGGGCUGCAGAGGGGCUCAGGAACCACCACAGCACUGAGCUGCUGCUGCUGCACAUCACCCUCUGGGAUCCACGUAAUAGCCAGCAAGGAGUUAAACACCAUGCAAAAAUAAUGCUUCCCUUAUUUUCUCCUUCUUUCCCCUCCUCCUCCCAUGUGCUUUUAUUUUUGUCUUGAGCUAAGUACAAAUGUUGGUUUGUUUUUUUGUUUUUUUGUUUUUUUGUUUUUUUACUUUGGCAUAACUUAUUUUGCUGUUUGAUUUUUACACAAUCCUCAGGUACCUAAUGAAAUUGCCACAUGCUCAAGGGAAAACAAGUUUUGUAACA
Molecule: long non-coding RNA, 1789 nt
Filed under: Ficedula albicollis (Collared flycatcher)
Lineage: Eukaryota; Metazoa; Chordata; Aves; Passeriformes; Muscicapidae
Description: lncRNA (ENSFALG00000024724.1)
Source: RNAcentral